ACGGAGCCUUCCGUGCUUCCAGGUUAUUUUCAAUGUUGCAACUUUCGAAUCGUCGAUCGGCUUCAUUAAACUUGAUCUAGAGUAUUUGAAGUACCUAGAAAAUAAAUUUUAUGAUUUUUCGAUAUCAUUUGCCUAGUGAUCAAAGGAGCUCAAAAUCAAUAAUUUUAAUGGCCGUAGUGAGCCGUUUGCAAGUUUAACGGUGUAGAAAUAUCCAAAUCACGUGAUAUUUUGAUAGAAAAUUUUUUAUACUAUAUAAAAUAAAUCAAUAUCUUUGAUCUAAAAUCUUAAUAUCAUAUUAUCACGUUUUGUAAGAUUUUUAUUUUCAGCCGUUGAUUUUGAGCCCUUUCGUUCACUAGGCAAAUAAUAUCGAAAAAUCGCAUAAUUUAUUUUCUAGGUACUUCAAAUACUUUAGAUCAAGUUUAACGGAUCCGAUCGACGAUUCGAAAGUC
This 449-nucleotide long non-coding RNA is filed under the name Ananas comosus (pineapple). Its description in RNAcentral is "long non-coding RNA (ACOM_LNC005314)". The record is from RNAcentral. Lineage: Eukaryota; Viridiplantae; Streptophyta; Magnoliopsida; Poales; Bromeliaceae.